Transfer RNA from Pan troglodytes (chimpanzee), 72 nucleotides. It matches the Rfam family "tRNA". From Rfam's summary of the family: Transfer RNA (tRNA) molecules are approximately 80 nucleotides in length. Their secondary structure includes four short double-helical elements and three loops (D, anti-codon, and T loops). NCBI's taxonomy places the organism in Eukaryota, Metazoa, Chordata, Mammalia, Primates, Hominidae. The record is from Rfam.
UAGGUUGUGGUGUAAUAGGUAGCACAGAGAAUUUUGGAUUCUCAUGGGUAGGCUCAAUUCCUAUAGUUCUAG